This 512-nucleotide unclassified non-coding RNA is filed under the name Hevea brasiliensis (rubber tree). The record is from RNAcentral. Lineage: Eukaryota; Viridiplantae; Streptophyta; Magnoliopsida; Malpighiales; Euphorbiaceae.
GGGGAGGGAGAGAGAGAGAGAGAGCUACUAACUCACUUCCACCAAAAAUGACCACAAAUACUCCCCAGUGAAUUAAUUUAAAGGUGCUCCAUCACCACAUUCACAUUGUGGAUUUAAAAAAGAGAAAAAGAAAAUAGAAUGAAAUGAGAAUCCACGUGAAUAUCACCAAGAACUAUUCAUGGACGACCCCUAUAUAAUUUCAUUCAUUUCCAUUUUUGAAAAUUUUAAAACCAAGAAAAGAAAAAGGAAAAGGUACUUCUCUUUGAAAUAUGUAUGGUCUUACAUGUUAGCUAGUCAGUGUAGAGCAUUUAUUCAGUGCAGUCAGUACAUAAGAAAAUAAUGCACCUUGCCCUCAAAAACAUAGGUCCACCUGAAAUUGUGGAUGGCGGGCCCACAUGAGAGAGAGUGGAUUAUUUUCUAAUGUACCCAGUAUAUCAUACAAUUCAUAUCCAUUAUAUUUAGAAAUUAGUUGACUAAGGGUUUGUUUGGCAUUGCUGUUGGAACUGCUGUUG